GAGAGAGAGAGAGAGAGAGGUAAGUGGUAGGUGGUGACGCACUGGAGUUCCAGUAACCCUGUGCCUAGCCCCAGGUGUGACGUGCUGUGCAUUCCAGCAGUGAGAUGCUGCCCCCACCCCACCCCACCCUACUCCUCCCUACUCAAGGCCCACUCCUCAGCCUGGGCUUCCCACAUAUAUGCACACACAAACUCUCCUUGGCGUUGCCAAGAAUGCAGGACACAGUCAGAGGGAGGGACAGAAGGAGAGGAGGAGAGCCAAAGGGAAAGAAGGAAGGAAGGAAGGAAGGGUCUAGUCUGGAACUGUUGAAAAAGCAGCUCAAAUGGAAGCCAGAGGAGCUAUGAAAGCUAUGAAAGCCCAGUCACAAGGCUAGCGCAAUGUCCAGAGAUAAGGUACUAUUAUCUGUGUUAAUAAUAAUCAACUGAACAGUUUAAGGUACGUUCAGAGAACCAGCAAUCAACACCUCAGAGAAUAAAGACCUGCUUUACAUUGCAGAUGUCCCAUGUGACAUGGCAAGUACAAACUGGGUGCAUUACUGUCAGGUAUUUAAGGUUGCAGGUUGAAGAUGCUAUAUUGGCGGGAUCUGGAUUGAAACGUUCAGUCCUCUAGAUAUGCGCCUCACCUUUAGCCCCUGGAUACCACCAAUGGGGAAAGAAGGAAAAAGGCUCAACAAAUCAUAAAAAAUGCUGUUUUGCAACGUUGUAAAAAAAGGUGUCAAUAAAGCUGAUUCCAGUGGUGAUGUUUUGGCAUAUUUUGUUUUCCUCCAGAAAUUUGAAUCUUUAAAUGUGCCAUGAUUUAUUUUUCUCACUCCAUGCCCCAUGCAAUGGCCUCAUUGUACUGUUGUGUGUGUGUGUGUGUGUGUGUGUGUGUGUUUCUUUUUUAAUGUUUUUUCUUUUUUGUUUGUUUUAUUUAAUUGAGGGAAAAAUCAGUGGCGGCACUGAAGUGAAAGGGAGUGUUUGAACAGCAGAGGAAGAAUGAACUUGUUUUUUUUGGUACUGCUUCCACCACUAGAGAUGUACUGGCUUUGCUACAUUGAAAUGCAGCUAAAAAGAUCAUUCUAACUAACUACCUGAACGAUUUGCCCACCUCCAACCCUUCAAGUCAUAGACUCCUAAUUAACUUGAUAGGACUGAACCAAAUAUGCAUAACUGCAAUUCAAUUUUGUUACUUUGGAGAAAAUCAAGACAAGAGGGAAAGGUACAGGGAAAUAUUUUUGUGGUACAACUUGAUUAUUGUACCUACUGAUAAAACAGAACAUGUACAAAAGUAUGAAAACAUGAAUUCACUUUGACAAAGCUCUUCAUGGUGUGGACCCUGCUAGAUUAGGGUGACUGUUCCUGUGGGGGUGUUCAGCACAUACAGAAUGGGGAUAGGCACAUGACCUUAAAACCAGUUGAUUCUGGCCCCCUGGUUAGCAGUUGAAACAGCGUUUGGUCUGUACUAAACCCAUGAAAAUGUGCUGUAAGGAAUUUUGAAAUACAAGUUGUUAAAUGAACUGAAGUAUUAGAUAUAUUGCUAAUAGAUGUACUUUUUAUUUUGUUUUCCUGGAACAACCAGUAGACUAUCCACUAAGAAAGCUUUAAAGAACUGCUGUUCUGAACAUUUCAAUCUCAUCGGAAAGUGACCAGGAUUUUGACGAAUUUUAGACCCACACAUUUCCUUUCAGUUCUAUUUUUAAAAGAAUUGAUCAUAUUCUAUACUCCUAACCCCAUUUCCAUGAGGCAUUUGAAAUAAAUAAUAAAAAUAUAUACAAUAUUAGAUUGUAAUGAGAAUAUACACACCACUCCAGUAUGUAUGUACUGCAUAAAAUACUAUUUCUAUUUUCUUCUCAGUAGUUCAUAAUUAUAUAAUAGUAGAUCUGAGAGGAGCAAGAAAUACAAUGAGUGAAACAAUUGUCUUUGCUAUUGUGUGAAAUUGGUUUCAACAUUCAAUGGUGUGUCGUAAUUGAACAUAUGGGGCUGGAGGAAAAGUUCAAAAACAGGUGUGAAGGAAUGUGUGGGGUUCUUUUUCUUUGUGAAGACAUUUUGCAUUUUUUUGUAAAAGCCUGCCCAAUGUUUUGUAUCUUAUUCUAUUUCAUUUGCUGCUGUGUAGUACAAAACAAAACAGAAGUAAUGAAUGCGAUGAUGGUGGCCGUCUGAAGGAGAAGAAUGAUGCUGAUGAGUGGGGUCAUUGCCAUGCUACCUGUGUUUUUGAUUUUGAGAGAAAAUUGUAUUUUUUGAGCUAGACAGAGUGGGGUUGAGUCUCAGCUAUUGGGGGGGGGGGGGGACUCUUCUUCCCAGUUUAUACAUCUCCUUCUGAGAUUUAUUUCCGAAAGGAAAGAGAUGUUAACAACAAUGUAUGGCUGCAUCCUCAACUGUAAAUACUGUUGCUUUUUUCUUUUAUAUGUUAAUUGCGCCCCAAAGUGUUAUUUUCCCUCCCUGUCUCCCUCUCUUUUCUGUAGAGAGAGCAAGGGAGACCUAGUUGAAACAUUUUGAGCAUUGCAUAGUGCUUAUAUUUAUCUGAAUUAUUAUUUUUUUUGCUUUCAACAGAGCUAUUGCAAUAAAAUGUGUUAACGUAACCAGUGACACCGUUUGGCCCUCUUCUUAUUUGGAGCAACAAGUAUUCAAUUUUUUUUAAUCAAUCCCAUGUAACAUGUGGCUGCAACUCAGAGACACUCAUUUGAAACAAUACCAGUGUGCUCUCUGUUAGGACUUUCUCAAUGCUGUCACCAAUAGCCCUACAUAAGUAUAGGCGAUGUUGUUAUAUGAAAGAAGUAAGCUACCCCACCUCCAACAAACACACUGAUUGCACAGUCAAGUGCCAACAGGACAAAGUCCCUUUGAGGGAUAAACAGGAUUUUAUUAACAGAGCAGGCUAAAGUACAGUUUUAACCAAUCCGCUGUAAAAUAUUGCUUUGACAUUCUACCAAGAGAGACUGAAUUGGCACCUGAUGGCUAUGGGCGAUACCACGGCCCUGCUCUAGGCCACAGUGCAGAGGGUAAAUAGGACACACAUUUGUUUUCCCCAAGUUCAUGGGUGAGUCAUCAUGACAAGCCUGAUGUGCUGAGUCUUGUAUCACACGGUCAGGACACAGAGCAUACAAAAAACCCUCUCUUAGGAAUGCCAUGGCUCAUGACUAUCGUCUUAUUUUGUGUUUUGAAAUGUAAAGACACUAUCGUGUUAACUACUGGAUAAAUGAAGGGCCUUUUGUGAAUCAGGAACCAGUCUCCCACAUACACACACCUUCAAGGAACCCUGAAGAAAGAGUUUGUACAGUUUAAAGCUGUUGAAAGGUUGAAGAGUAGAGAAGCGGUUGAAAGGUUGAAGAGUAGGGAAGCUGUUGAAGAGUAGGGAAGCUGUUGAAAGGUUUCUGCAGGUGAGCUUCUGAGUGGAGCUGCAACAUUCCUAGAAGCUGCUGAGCCCCUCGUGCCCCCUCUCUGACCUGAGCAUUUAGCACCAAAUCCCAGUGGCGUGAUCCAGAAAUUCCCAAGAC
Molecule: long non-coding RNA, 3472 nt
Organism: Clupea harengus (Atlantic herring)
Lineage: Eukaryota; Metazoa; Chordata; Actinopteri; Clupeiformes; Clupeidae
Source: Ensembl